Long non-coding RNA from Oncorhynchus gorbuscha (pink salmon), 1837 nucleotides. RefSeq lists it as uncharacterized. The record is from RefSeq and is a predicted model, not a curated record. NCBI's taxonomy places the organism in Eukaryota, Metazoa, Chordata, Actinopteri, Salmoniformes, Salmonidae. The transcript has 2 exons.
AUGCUUGGCAACCAGCCAGAGUAAAAAUAAACUCACUGUACCUGACCAGCUGUGUCAUACAGUCCCAAUAAGUACUGCUUUCCGCCAACAUUGACACUCACUGCAAAGCAAUGAAAAAGGCUUGUUUAGAGAGAGACAGAGGGAUCUCUUAUCCCAAGUGGUUUUGCUUAUAGAAACCGAUGUAUUCCUAUGCAAUCUGAGACAAAGAAAGUAGAAAAGUGACAAAAGGGAUGGACGGCACAAGGACUAGUUUGCCUCUAUUUUGUUCAGACAGUGCUGUUUGGCUUUGCCUCGCAGCCUGCUUCUCAAAUACAAACCUGACCACAGGCCCAAACAACACAGAAAAGGAAGACCCUGCUGCAGAACAGAGUCUAUAGUCUUCAUAGACGACACCACCACUUCCUCAGGAAAUAAUGAGUGGCCAUGGCAUGCUGUGAACUUUUAUCUGCUAACUGUUUUAUAUAUGUUUGGGAUCAAGAUGGUUAUUAGUGAUUCCAGCUUGCUUACAGCGCUCAGAGAGGACCAUAGACAAAAAAAGCAAAAACAUUCAAGCCGUCAAAAUUCUUCAUAAAACAUAACUAUUGUUAAGCUUCCCACCACACACCUAACAUUCCUCAGAAAAUAAAUGAUCUUCUUUGACCCAGAACAUAUUUUAGGACAAAAUGCAAUGCACUGUUUAAACAGAGAUUAUCACAAUGUUCAAAAUUACAACAUAUUGUCUUGUUUUAUAUCAUGAUGGAAAAGCAUGAAGUUUUCCUACAAAAUGUUUUCUAGUCAUAACGCUAGAGCAUUCGCCAAUUUUAAGUUCAGAUCGCCCAUUUUAAUCACCGUUUACAUUACGCUUGUUUUAUGAAAAAAAGACUACAGAUGUUUCAUACAGAUGUUUCUUAACUUGCCUUAUAUUACAUUAUACUAAUACAUUUGCCUUUAAGCACGGACAAGCUUGGGAUUUAUCCACAAAUCGAGUCUAUUAAUAUAGAUAAGAGAUAAGAUGAGAGUUGAAGGGUGAAGUUCUCGUUUAUAAAACGUGACAAAUAAAAAUGUGAUUGAUGAACAAACUUGGCUCUAUGCAGCUACUUAGUUUUUUUCCACCUCUGUCUGUUACGCUGUCUUCGCGUGUGCUUGGACAGCUCUGACGAGGACAUAACAUCAUCAUGGUCCAUGAUUGGUGACUCUGCAUUGGCAUUAUGACUAUGUUCAGAAUUGUAUGUGUUGAUCAGACAUGUAUUUGAUCAUUUAAAAAUAGGCCAGCAUAGUCAAAAUAUUGAGAAAUAACAGUGAAACAUGACAUAAAAAAAUAUAUAUUAGAGCAGUAAGCCUAAUAUAGGCACCUGACCCGGCCUACAAUGUGCAGGACUCCAUUUAUUCAUACAAUUUGUCAAACUAAUUUCCCAUCCAAAUGCAAAAAUAUAUAUAAAAAGUGACAAAAUGGGAUAUCACAUGAAUUACUUAAGCUUUAGGAAAUGCAACCAACUACAGAGAUUGAUGGGGAGGGGAGUGGGACCCAUAAACCCCGCUUCAAUCAAGCAGGCUUCAGUCACCCACUUUUGCUUCAGUCAUCCCCAUUGCCUGUAAUGUUUUUGAAAAGGGAAAUGUGUGUUAAAUGGGUAGUGAAUAUAAUUUCCUUUUAUUUACUGUUCUGAGUUAUGAUGUUAUCAAUUCGUUGAUGUAGGGAUCUACUCAUUCUACGCAAAGUUUUCAGCUAUUUUUGAAGUACUCAAUUUGAAAUAUGCAAUAUUUGGUUGUGCACUUUUUUGUGAAAAUUGUCAUUGUUUGUAUUUGGAAGUUGUGUGCCUGAAAUGCUCAAUUGAUUUGAAAUGAACAACUACGACUUACA